AGUCACGCUGUAAACGAUGUCGAUUUGGAGUUUGGGGGCAUGACCCUUUGGCUCCGGAGCUAACGCGUUAAAUCGACCGCCUGGGGAGUACGGCCGCAAGGUUAAAACUCAAAUGAAUUGACGGGGGCCCGCACAAGCGGUGGAGCAUGUGGUUUAAUUCGAUGCAACGCGAAGAACCUUACCUGGUCUUGACAUCCAUAGAAUCUUUCAGAGAUGAGAGAGUGCCUUCGGGAGCUAUGAGACAGGUGCUGCAUGGCUGUCGUCAGCUCGUGUUGUGAAAUGUUGGGUUAAGUCCCGCAACGAGCGCAACCCCUAUCCUUUGUUGCCAGCACGUAAUGGUGGGAACUCAAAGGAGACUGCCGUUGAUAAAGCGGAGGAAGGUGGGGACGACGUCAAGUCAUCAUGGCCCUUACGACCAGGGCUACACACGUGCUACAAUGGCGUAUACAAAGGGAUGCGAAGGUGCGAACUGGAGCGGACCUCACAAAGUACGUCUAAGUCCGGAUUGGAGUCUGCAACUCGACUCCAUGAAGUCGGAAUCGCUAGUAAUCGUGAAUCAGAAUGUCACGGUGAAUACGUUCCCGGGCCUUGUACACACCGCCCGUCACACCAUGGGAGUGGGUUGCACCAGAAGUAGAUAGCUUAACCUUCGGGAGGGCGUUUACCACGGUGUGGUUCAUGACUGGGGUGAAGUCGUAACAAGGUAACCA
Molecule: ribosomal RNA, 710 nt
Filed under: uncultured Enterobacteriaceae bacterium
Lineage: Bacteria; Pseudomonadati; Pseudomonadota; Gammaproteobacteria; Enterobacterales; Enterobacteriaceae
Description: bacterial SSU rRNA
Rfam family: Bacterial small subunit ribosomal RNA
Source: RNAcentral